Molecule: long non-coding RNA, 469 nt
Organism: Esox lucius (northern pike)
Lineage: Eukaryota; Metazoa; Chordata; Actinopteri; Esociformes; Esocidae
Source: Ensembl
UAGGUCCCCAUUUUUCCGCCAACACAGCCAUGACCCAUCGAGGCAUGGACUCCACUAGACCUCUCUGAAGGUGUGCUCUGGUAUCUGGCACAGAGACAUUAGCAGCAGAUCCUUCAAGUCCUGUAAGUUGCAAGGUCCUAAUGGCUGCAGGGGUUGGAACAAAUGUGAACUUGGGACAGAAGACGCUCACAAUGGUGGGUAAGGGCCACCAAGAAUGGAGCCUCUCAUCUAGAAAAGGCUGCAGAAAAGACCAUUAGAGGACCUUUUCUAAAGGAAAGAAUAAAACAAAUCGAGGAGGAAAGAAUAAAAAAAAGAGGUGCUGCUCAGCGCAUCAGAGGGAAGUGAGGAGAACUGCAGCCUCAUCCACCCUGGUUAAAUCCUGCAUUGAAAAAUGCCUGUUGUUUAUGACAAUUGUUCUGUAUUUACCUGCAUCCACCAGAACACACUGAACGAGCAGAUGUGUAGCGAC